CACAUGUCAGAUAGUCAUAUUUCUCCUGUCUGAAAGUGUGUUUUUCACUAUAUAUAUAUAUAUAUAUAUAUAUAUAUAUAUAUAUAUAUAUAAGCAAUAGAUCACUUCAGUCAGUGGUAUGUGCUCAUUAUACCACUGUUAAGCGGCGUUGUCCGGCCCCGACGCGCCCUUUGUGAAUUUUGCAAUUAUUAGUCCACUUUGUGUUUGCCAUUUGUCUGAUUUCAUUAAAAAUGUGAACAGGUUAUUUGUGGACAUAUGUUCUGAUUGGACUGUUUAAAAUCAGCUUUGUUCAGUGAACUCUUCUGUGAAUACAAUUCUGUUUUUAUCUGAAUAGGAAAUCCAUGACGUCCACACAAAGCGCACUACGGUUCUCCACUGCCUUCCUGUGUAUCUGCGCAAAGACGUUUCUGGAUUAUUCAGAACCUGCACAGGCGAGUCUGAUGAGCCAGAGCUGGAAAGUGUUGCAGUGGGCCUCCUUACCGUCAUCAUCAGUGACCAUGCCACAGUCCAAAGUCCAGUUCACUACCACUCUGUGAGCAUCUCUGUCAUCAUUGAAAGUGAUGCCAUGGUCAGCCUCCCCAGAUUAGGCGACGCCUUCCUGGUAAUCUUUGGACUGAUCUAUGCACUACACCUCAGCUAUCUGAAAGCACUGACCAACACUUUUGAAUUCACUCAAAAGAUUUUACCUUGUCUGGAAGGUAGUAAACUGUCACCCAGGUUGCAGACCCUCAAGAAUGACUUGAUGUAGAAAUUCUUCUGAAGGACGCUGCAGGCUUACCAGGCAUUAUAAAAAGGCCAGCUCAAAGUUUUCCUUUUGUCUAAAUAAUGCCUCAAAAAGUUACUGCACUUAAUUGAACCCAGGGUCUUUUUCGACAUGAAAUGACAUAAAAUAAGCCCUCCAGACACUUCUUUUCAUUGAUAAUCGAAUAUAAAGCUUGCCCGGAGCAACGCUAACAGCCCAAAUGCCUUCUAUGUUAUGAGGGGCAGUGCGAACGCUUCCAAAUCAGCAUUUUCUAACCACUAAUAUUGCUCAAAAUAGCACCAAACCUCUGCAGUAGCAUGACUAAGGUCCCUACACAUAAAACAAAGCAUCAACAACUUAGUUAGCGUACCGGGAGUUUAUUAAAAAAUACUGUUUUAGACCAACCGCAGUCUUAGAAGCACGGCUGUCUGAGGCCGGGCUGGGUGUCCAGACAAAUCAUGUCUGUUACGGGACGCAUAAGCCUAAGCCUAGGUUAUAAAUUAGUUGUCGUAAU
RNAcentral lists this long non-coding RNA (1256 nucleotides) under Gadus morhua (Atlantic cod). Its description in RNAcentral is "lncRNA (ENSGMOG00000028289.1)". The record is from RNAcentral. Lineage: Eukaryota; Metazoa; Chordata; Actinopteri; Gadiformes; Gadidae.